UAGUCCACGCUGUAAACGAUGUCUACUUGGAGGUUGUUGUCUUGAAUGAUGGCUUUCGGAGCUAACGCGUUAAGUAGACCGCCUGGGGAGUACGGCCGCAAGGUUAAAACUCAAAUGAAUUGACGGGGGCCCGCACAAGCGGUGGAGCAUGUGGUUUAAUUCGAAGCAACGCGCAGAACCUUACCUAGGCUUGAAAUCCCUCGAAUCCCGAGUAAUUUUGGGAGUGCCCGCAAGGGAAUGAGGUGACAGGUGCUGCAUGGCUGUCGUCAGCUCGUGUUGUGAAAUGUUGGGUUAAGUCUCGCAACGAGCGCAACCCCUAUCUUUAGUUGCCAGCAUUAAGUUGGGCACUCUAGAGAGACUGCCCGGGUUAACCGGGAGGAAGGUGGGGAUGACGUCAAGUCCUCAUGGCCCUUAUGCCUAGGGCUACACACGUAAUACAAUGGUGCAUACAGAGGGAAGCGAUCGGGUGACCGUUAGCAAAUCUCAAAAAGUGCAUCUCAGUCCGGA
Molecule: ribosomal RNA, 507 nt
Filed under: uncultured bacterium
Lineage: Bacteria
Description: bacterial SSU rRNA
Rfam family: Bacterial small subunit ribosomal RNA
Source: RNAcentral